CCGUAKCGGGUGCGAGGCCCAUAGCCGCCGCCUUCGUCUCGGAUGCGAUCUCCUUGGAGUCGGGUUGCUUGGGAGUGCAGCCCCAAUCGGGUGGUAAACUCCACCUAAGGCUAAAUACCGCCGUGAGACCGAUAGCAAACAAGUACCGUGAGGGAAAGUUGCAAAGAACUUUGAAGAGAGAGUUCAAGAGUACGUGAAACUGCUCAGAGGUAAACGGGUGGGCCCUCGAAUUCCUGUGGCGAGAGGAUUCAGUCUGGUCGGGCGGACGUGCAGUYGGAAAACCGAGCAGGGCUUCCCGGGACCGGGGCCGUCCGACAGCGCGUCCUCUGUCCUUUCAGACGCAUUUGUCUCUCGUCCGAAGGACGCUGCAGCCGGUCUGGCAGUGCAAGCGCGACGGCCUGAAGGUCGGGAACCGGCAGGUGGCCGGCGGCCUGCGUCACGCGGGCUGUCGGUUGUUAGCCAUCCCGUCAGUGGCCCGUCGCCAGACCGAGGUGUCGCGAGUCCCUUCGGGGACUCCUCGUCUCCACCCCAGAGUCGCGGGACAGGGCGUGGCAAGGGAACCGUACAUCGGCUGCCGUCGCACUCUCCAGGAGUGGGCGGCGGCGUGCGGGACCCCGUCAGCCGCGACGGACCCGUGGGGGAUCGGAGGCUGGCAGCGAGUAGGUCGGUCACCCACCCGACCCGUCUUGAAACACGGACCAAGGAGUCUAACAUGUGCGCGAGUCAAUGGGUCUUGACUAGGCCCAGGGGCGCAAUGAAAGCGAAGGACCGCCUCKCGCGGUCUGAGUGGGGAUCCCUCCCUUGACCGGGGGGGCGCW
This 818-nucleotide ribosomal RNA is filed under the name Malloneta guineensis. RNAcentral describes it as "eukaryotic LSU rRNA". It matches the Rfam family "Eukaryotic large subunit ribosomal RNA", at positions 202 to 773 of the family's 3401-position model. The record is from RNAcentral. Lineage: Eukaryota; Metazoa; Arthropoda; Arachnida; Araneae; Salticidae.